Molecule: ribosomal RNA, 63 nt
Filed under: Candidatus Kurthia intestinigallinarum
Lineage: Bacteria; Bacillati; Bacillota; Bacilli; Caryophanales; Caryophanaceae
Description: Kurthia sp. 3B1D partial 23S ribosomal RNA
Source: RNAcentral
CGAGAUGGAAGUGCAGCGAUGUACGGAGUUGACGAAUACUAAUAGGUCGAGGACUUAACCAAA